CUUCUACUUCACAGAAAGGCUCGGUGGUCUUAAAAAAACAAACCAAUAUUCUAAUGCAUUGGGAUAUUGUACUGAGAGUAUACAGUCACAAGAGGAAGCAAUGGCCAUCAACUUCAAUAGCUUUAGAAGAGGAUUAGACAAUUCCUUCAGGAAAGAGCUGUCAAUGACUACUAGCCAUGAUGGCUACACUCGGCCCACAUGCUCAGAUGCAGUAUGUUUCUGAAUACCAGUUGCUGGAAAGCACAGGAGGCACAUGCACUUUGGUCCUCAGGUCCUGCCUGUGGAUCUCCCACAGGCAUCUGGUUGGCUGCUGUGAGAACAUGAUGCUGAACUAGAUGGGCCUGAUCUAGCAGGCUCUUCUUAUGUUAAACUGAAACUGAACUAGUUUGGUGUUGGAGCCGCCCAUGGUUCCAACCAUGGGUAGAUAUUGCCAAUGCUCUUGUUCUCACUUUUCAGUACAGAAAUAAUGUGUGUUUUAUAAAACCACAGUAUUGUACCUCUUUAGUUACGUGAGAGCAAGUUAAAACUUCCAUGCCUUGCUCAAAUGUCACUUGAAGACAAUAACUCACUGAUCAUGAUACUGUUAAUGUCAGCUACCAGUUAUACUUUCAUGCAAUGACAGGCAUUGCAUUGCAGUCAUUGCAUUAAAGUAUUUGACAUCUCUACACAAACUGAUACACACUGAAAAUUCAUGUUUUCAUUUCAGCUUGAGACAAUAAUGGUACUGUCUCCAAGAGAGCUAUCUAGACUCGGAGGCAUACUAUUCUUUUUGUCCCUCUUGUGCAUAAAAAUGGCAUGCCUCUCGCUACUUGCAGGGCAGUAAGGUAGACAGUCAACGAGCUUCUCUUUGCUUAGUCAGAGAUGUUAUCCACACACACUGCUCCCACUGUAGCCUAGCCUCUGAAUAACAUUAUGAUUCAUGACUGACAACUUACAUCACUUUCAGAUGUUUAAAUUAUUUGCCAGUUAUUUACAAUUUUGGCACUUGAUGCCUUCAGAGGACUUUUUAGAAACUGAGUAAAUAUUGUAGUGUCUGUAUAUAAAUGUUAAACAUUCCAACUAAGUUCAGACAUAAAUCAAGUAGGUUUAAUUGCUUAUCAAUGUGCUGUCAAAAUUGUACUGUAAUUUACUGCUAAUAUUUCAGCUCCCGUUUUCAUAAUGUUUUUACGUUCUUAACUACAGUCAUGCAUAAAUAAUUACUUUUAGUUAAGAGAAGUACAACUAAAAUCCUUGUGAUGUCUCCAAAGUUAUAUUUCUGAUAUGUAAGAAUGCAGGAGACUGGAAAAUUCUAGCAUUAGUUACUGUUAUUCAUAAACUGAUAUUGUGGUUCAA
Molecule: long non-coding RNA, 1332 nt
Organism: Podarcis raffonei (Aeolian wall lizard)
Lineage: Eukaryota; Metazoa; Chordata; Lepidosauria; Squamata; Lacertidae
Exons: 2
Source: RefSeq, a predicted model, not a curated record